AACGAACGCUGGCGGCAUGCCUAACACAUGCGAGUCGAACGAGACCUUCGGGUCUAGUGGCGCACGGGUGCGUAACGCGUGGGAACCUGCCCUUAGGUUCGGAAUAACUCCCCGAAAGGGGUGCUAAUACCAGAUAAUGUCUUCGGACCAAAGAUUUAUCGCCUUUGGAUGGGCCCGCGUUGGAUUAGCUAGUUGGUAGGGUAAAAGCCUACCAAGGCGACGAUCCAUAGCUGGUCUGAGAGGAUGAUCAGCCACACUGGGACUGAGACACGGCCCAGACUCCUACGGGAGGCAGCAGUGGGGAAUAUUGGACAAUGGGCGAAAGCCUGAUCCAGCAAUGCCGCGUGAGUGAUGAAGGCCUUAGGGUUGUAAAGCUCUUUUACCCGGGAUGAUAAUGACAGUACCGGGAGAAUAAGCUCCGGCUAACUCCGUG
Molecule: ribosomal RNA, 433 nt
Filed under: uncultured bacterium
Lineage: Bacteria
Description: partial 16S ribosomal RNA
Rfam family: Bacterial small subunit ribosomal RNA
Source: RNAcentral